AAUAUUGGACAAUGGGCGCAAGCCUGAUCCAGCCAUGCCGCGUGAGUGAUGAAGGCCUUAGGGUUGUAAAGCUCUUUCACCGGGGAAGAUAAUGACGGUAGCCGGAGAAGAAGCCCCGGCUAACUUCGUUCCAGCAGCCGCGGUAAUCCGAAGGGGGCUAGCGUUGUUCGGAAUUACUGGGCGUAAAGCGAAAGUAGGCGGAUUGGUCAGUUAGGGGUGAAAUCCCAGGGCUCAACCCUGGAACUGCAUUUAAUACUGCCAGUCUGGAGUUCGAGAGAGGUGAGUGGAAUUCCGAGUGUAGAGGUGAAAUUCGUAGAUAUUCGGAGGAACACCAGUGGCGAAGGCGGCUCACUGGACCAAAACUGACGCUGAGGUGCGAAAGCGUGGGGAGCAAACAGG
RNAcentral lists this ribosomal RNA (399 nucleotides) under uncultured bacterium. Its description in RNAcentral is "partial 16S ribosomal RNA". It matches the Rfam family "Bacterial small subunit ribosomal RNA", at positions 360 to 776 of the family's 1533-position model. The record is from RNAcentral.